AUCCUUACGUGAAUACAUAGCGUGAGGAAGGCAGACCCAGGGAACUGAAACAUCUAAGUACCUGGAGGAAGAGAAAGAAAAAUCGAUUUCCUGAGUAGCGGCGAGCGAAACGGAAAGAGCCCAAACCAAGAAGCUUGCUUCUUGGGGUUGUAGGACACUCUAUACGGAGUUACAAAAGAAAGUUAUAAAUGAAGCGGUCUGGAAAGGCCCGCCAAAGACGGUAACAGCCCGGUAGUUGAAAUGGCUUUCCCUCCAGAGUGGAUCCUGAGUACGGCGGAACAUGUGAAAUUCCGUCGGAAUCCGGGAGGACCAUCUCCCAAGGCUAAAUACUCCCUAGUGACCGAUAGUGAACCAGUACCGUGAGGGAAAGGUGAAAAGCACCCCGGAAGGGGAGUGAAACAGUUCCUGAAACCGUGUGCCUACAAGUAGUUAGAGCCCGUUAAUGGGUGAUAGCGUGCCUUUUGUAGAAUGAACCGGCGAGUUACGAUUUGUUGCAAGGUUAAGCGGAAAAAGCGGAGCCGUAGCGAAAGCGAGUCUGAAUAGGGCGCAUAAGUAACAGGUCGUAGACCCGAAACCAGGUGAUCUACCCAUGUCCAGGAUGAAGGUAAGGUAAUACUUACUGGAGGUCCGAACCCACGCACGUUGAAAAGUGCGGGGAUGAGGUGUGGGUAGCGGAGAAAUUCCAAUCGAACUUGGAGAUAGCUGGUUCUCUCCGAAAUAGCUUUAGGGCUAGCCUCGAGGUAAAGAGUCAUGGAGGUAGAGCACUGUUUGGACUAGGGGCCCUUCUCGGGUUACCGAAUUCAGAUAAACUCCGAAUGCCAUGUACUUAUACUCGGGAGUCAGACUGCGAGUGAUAAGAUCCGUAGUCGAAAGGGAAACAGCCCAGACCACCAGUUAAGGUCCCCAAAUAUAUGUUAAGUGGAAAAGGAUGUGGGGUUGCUUAGACAACCAGGAUGUUGGCUUAGAAGCAGCCACCAUUGAAAGAGUGCGUAAUAGCUCACUGGUCGAGUGACCCCGCGCCGAAAAUGUACCGGGGCUAAACAUAUUACCGAAACUGUGGAUGAACCUCUUUAGAGGUUCGUGGUAGGAGAGCGUUCUAAGGGCGGUGAAGUCAGACCGGAAGGACUGGUGGAGCGCUUAGAAGUGAGAAUGCCGGUAUGAGUAGCGAAAGAAGGGUGAGAAUCCCUUCCACCGAAUAUCUAAGGUUUCCUGAGGAAGGCUCGUCCGCUCAGGGUUAGUCGGGACCUAAGCCGAGGCCGAUAGGCGUAGGCGAUGGACAACAGGUAGAGAUUCCUGUACCAGUGCUAAUUGUUUAACCGAUGGGGUGACACAGAAGGAUAGGGAAUCGCACGAAUGGAAAUGUGCGUCCAA
This 1371-nucleotide ribosomal RNA is filed under the name Listeria monocytogenes. Its description in RNAcentral is "partial 23S ribosomal RNA". It matches the Rfam family "Bacterial large subunit ribosomal RNA", at positions 150 to 1515 of the family's 2925-position model. The record is from RNAcentral. Lineage: Bacteria; Bacillati; Bacillota; Bacilli; Caryophanales; Listeriaceae.